Long non-coding RNA from Arachis duranensis, 758 nucleotides. RefSeq lists it as uncharacterized. NCBI's taxonomy places the organism in Eukaryota, Viridiplantae, Streptophyta, Magnoliopsida, Fabales, Fabaceae. The record is from RefSeq and is a predicted model, not a curated record. The transcript has 2 exons.
UCUUUCAAUUCAAGUAAUGGAACCCAACCAAAGGGAGCAAACGUCCUUCGAAACUACUGUACAGUACAUGUAAUGUUUCCAAGUACCGGAGGGGUGUCAAGCUCUUCAAAUACUCAGCACUUGUUGAAGAACUAACCCGAGCCCAUUUCGAAAAAUAUAGCACAUUAACUCGAUCGUUUUCUGGAAUAUGGUGUAACCAUCCCCGUGCAUCUUCAUAAAAGAAUAGCGAGUGAGUGGAUUCUUUAUUGCACGUCUCUAAUGAACAGGUAUAGGAUCCUACUGUGCUAGGAAAGGACAAUAAUCUACGAGCAUUGUUAGUGUUGCUCAAUUAAUAUUAAGAAUCAUGUGCAUAUAUAUUGCUAUUUCAUGUGUAGUAUAGUUAAUAUCUUAGGCAUGAUACAAGGUUUAAACCUGUAAUCUUCAGAUCACAAGUCACCAAUGAUUAUGACAUUGUCACAUUGAAAGCAUUAAAAGAAUCAAUUCCAUCAAAGAAAUACUGAUGACCAUUUAGCUGUAUUAUGUGCCUAUAUAUGCAAUAUUAUUAAGCUCAAAGAUAAAAAUAUCCGCUGGAUGCUAUGGCCCAGCUGUUGUUGGGGCAUACCUCGUUUCAAUGGGAGGUUACUGUGACUUGAGGGGGAAUAUACUAUAGUUUAUAAUGGUCCUAGCUUUUGACCUGUAAUUCUGUAUUAGCUUUUGGUUAUGAUUUUCAAUUUUUCUUUUAUACAUCUUACAGCAGGAGAUGUUGCUGGUAUUUUAUA